GUUGUGAGGAAAGUGCUGCAUUAGCAGAAAAACAACUCCAUAAAAGGAAAUCGGCCUUGGGUGUUCUAGUCUCUUCGCUUGCAGAUAUCUUUCACCUGCAGGAUGAGGCGAUCGCUUCUUAUCGCUCUCAAGGCCAAAGUCAUGAGGAGAAAAGAGUCCAGGCACCACCCUGCCCAGGGGUCGGCUGCAAGCAGUCUCGGUUCCCGAUGAAAGCAGUACCAGCUGUCCUGCACACAAGGGUACAACGAGUUAGUGCAACCAGGGUAGUGACACAAAAU
This is a long non-coding RNA of Astatotilapia calliptera (eastern happy), 278 nucleotides long. The record is from Ensembl. NCBI's taxonomy places the organism in Eukaryota, Metazoa, Chordata, Actinopteri, Cichliformes, Cichlidae.